ACGGUUACCUUGUUACGACUUAGCCCCAGUCACCGGUUUUACCCUAGGGCGCUCCUUGCGGCAGCGCACUUCAGGCACCCCCGGCUUCCAUGGCUUGACGGGCGGUGUGUACAAGGCCCGGGAACGUAUUCACCGCGCCGUGGCUGAUGCGCGAUUACUAGCGAAUCCAGCUUCAUGGAGUCGGGUUGCAGACUCCAAUCCGAACUGAGACAGGCUUUCGGGUUCCGCUCCCUGUCGCCAGGUGGCUUCCCGCUGUACCUGCCAUUGUAACACGUGUGUCGCCCCGGACGUAAGGGCCGUGCUGAUUUGACGUCAUCCCCGCCUUCCUCGCAGCUUGCGCCGGCAGUCUCGACAGAGUCCUCAGCCUAACCUGUUAGCAACUGUCGAUGGGGGUUGCGCUCGUUAUGGCACUUAAGCCGACACCUCACGGCACGAGCUGACGACAAUCAUGCAGCACCUCGACACAGGCUCCGUAGAGCCGACCCCUUUCAGGGCCGUUCCUGUGUCGUUUGAGCCCGGGUAAGGUUCCUCGCGUAUCAUCGAAUUAAACCACAUGUUCCUCCGCUUGUGCGGGCCCCCGUCAAUUCCUUUGAGUUUCACCGUUGCCGGCGUACUCCC
RNAcentral lists this ribosomal RNA (618 nucleotides) under uncultured bacterium. RNAcentral describes it as "partial 16S ribosomal RNA". The record is from RNAcentral.